UGUUAAACCGACUAACACCCACACAAAACUUAUCCACUUUCUGAGAAGAUUUUCUUCACAAAGAAACCUUAUUACUUCCAUCUCCAUGAUGCAUGUUUCGUGAAUCACGAUGUAAAGCAAACUUAUAGAUAUAGAUACAAGAAAGGGUUCUUGCAAAGUUAACUUACCAUAACCUAGUAAGAUUGAAGUCAUGGAAGCCAAAAUGGCAGCGCCGGAGGCAUACAGAUUUCUUUUUGGUUUCUUUUGGGGAUCAAAAUCCGCAAGAGUUUUUUGGUUUUGAGGGUCAGUAUUGUUGUUGCUCUUGGCUCCCAAGCCUGCAGCCAUGUUGUUGCUAAGCUAGCUAGCCAGAGAGCGAGAGAGAGAGACUGCGAGUGUUUAAUUAUAUAAGCUAGGGUUUGGAAGAAGAGAUAGAAACUCAAGCUGCCAUGAAACUACUACAAAAACAAGAAGCCUUGUGUGUGAAGUGUAUGUUUAAUUUGCUGGACAGUUUAGGUUAUAAGCUUAUUAUAUAGAGCGAAGCUUACAUCAUUGCUUGGACCAAAGAGUCCAAAUAAAAGAGAAGUUAAUUAUUAUUUGAUUAUUUGUCCUUGUUUCAUUUUCACUCAUUGGUAAAGCCAUGUGAAUCUUUAACCCUGUUGGGUAAAAUAGGAUAGAAGUGUCAAUCUUGCUGUGCAUAUGUGAUAUAUAAAAACUGAAACCAAUGUGCUGUUUUUUUUCU
RNAcentral lists this long non-coding RNA (718 nucleotides) under Citrus sinensis (sweet orange). RNAcentral's name for it is "long non-coding RNA (CSIN_LNC005651)". Lineage: Eukaryota; Viridiplantae; Streptophyta; Magnoliopsida; Sapindales; Rutaceae. The record is from RNAcentral.